GAUGAACGCUGGCGGCGUGCCUAAUACAUGCAAGUCGAGCGAACAGAUGAGGAGCUUGCUCCUCUGACGUUAGCGGCGGACGGGUGAGUAACACGUGGAUAACCUACCUAUAAGACUGGGAUAACUUCGGGAAACCGGAGCUAAUACCGGAUAAUAUAUUGAACCGCAUGGUUCAAUAGUGGAAGACGGUUUUGCUGUCACUUAUAGAUGGAUCCACGCCGCAUUAGCUAGUUGGUAAGGUAACGGCUUACCAAGGCAACGAUGCGUAGCCGACCUGAGAGGGUGAUCGGCCACACUGGAACUGAGACACGGUCCAGACUCCUACGGGAGGCAGCAGUAGGGAAUCUUCCGCAAUGGGCGAAAGCCUGACGGAGCAACGCCGCGUGAGUGAUGAAGGUCUUCGGAUCGUAAAACUCUGUUAGUAGGGAAGAACAAAUGUGUAAGUAACUAUGCACGUCUUGACGGUACCUAAUCAGAAAGCAACGGCUAACUACGUG
RNAcentral lists this ribosomal RNA (497 nucleotides) under uncultured bacterium. RNAcentral describes it as "partial 16S ribosomal RNA". It matches the Rfam family "Bacterial small subunit ribosomal RNA", at positions 28 to 507 of the family's 1533-position model. The record is from RNAcentral.